This 532-nucleotide ribosomal RNA is filed under the name Cryptopleura ramosa. Its description in RNAcentral is "eukaryotic LSU rRNA". It matches the Rfam family "Eukaryotic large subunit ribosomal RNA", at positions 409 to 995 of the family's 3401-position model. The record is from RNAcentral. Lineage: Eukaryota; Rhodophyta; Florideophyceae; Ceramiales; Delesseriaceae.
UAUGGGGGAAGCGUAUUGGGUCAAAUUGAUUUGGGGGAGUGCUGCUGUUCAACGGGGUGAUUCCCGUGUACUCAGUGCAUUUUCUUACCCGUCGUGUGCUUUGGAUGGUCGAUUUUGGGCUGUCUGGGGCUGAGGGAUCCCCUUUUAUAGGGUGAAGACGAUGGGGCGCUGACACGAUACGACCCGUCUUGAAACACGGACCAAGGAGUUCAGCAUGUGUGCGAGUCAAAGGGUGAUUAAACCUGGGGGCGCAGUGAAAGCAACUUUUGUGUAAGGGAAUCCAACAUUAAGCAGUUUCAGGCGGCAUACGAUCGUUGAUUGUAGGACUGACCUAGAGCACAUGUGCUGAGACCCGAAAGAUGGUGAACUAUGCCGGAGUAGGGCGAAGCCAGAGGAAACUCUGGUGGAGGCUCGUAGCGGUGCUGACGUGCAAAUCGCUCGUCUGACUCGGGUAUAGGGGCGAAAGACUAAUCGAACCAUCUAGUAGCUGGUUUCCUCCGAAGUUUCUCUCAGGAUAGCAGGCCGACGAAUA